Molecule: ribosomal RNA, 311 nt
Filed under: uncultured eukaryote
Lineage: Eukaryota
Description: partial 18S ribosomal RNA
Rfam family: Eukaryotic small subunit ribosomal RNA
Source: RNAcentral
CCCUUAGAUGUUCUGGGCUGCACGCGUGUUACAAUCGGGAGUACAACAAGAUUGCAAAUCCUAGUGGAUGAGUGGUUCUUCGAAAUUUUCUGAAGACUGGGAUAGUUGAUUGAAAUUAUUCAACUCAAACGAGGAAUUCCUUGUAAUUGUAAUUCAUUAUAUUGUAAUGAAUACGUCCCUGCCCUUUGUACACACCGCCCGUCGCACCUACCGAUUGAAUGGUCCGGUGAAGCCUCCGGAUUGGCGCGCACCUCGGUGCCGCCGAGAAGUUGGCUAAACCUUACCAUUUAGAGGAAGGUGAAGUCGUAACA